GGCUGGUCUGAGUACAGUAGUGUUUACAAUUAAUUGAUCCCAACCAGUUAUACGGAUGUUUUUGUUCCUUUUGCAUUCCUACUGCUUUACUUGACUAGCUUUAA
Otolemur garnettii (small-eared galago) is the source of this 104-nucleotide unclassified non-coding RNA. It matches the Rfam family "Y RNA". From Rfam's summary of the family: Y RNAs are components of the Ro ribonucleoprotein particle (Ro RNP), in association with Ro60 and La proteins. The record is from Ensembl. NCBI's taxonomy places the organism in Eukaryota, Metazoa, Chordata, Mammalia, Primates, Galagidae.